Molecule: long non-coding RNA, 1921 nt
Organism: Cygnus olor (mute swan)
Lineage: Eukaryota; Metazoa; Chordata; Aves; Anseriformes; Anatidae
Exons: 4
Source: RefSeq, a predicted model, not a curated record
UGUGCAUUUUUGCUGAAUAGGCAGCUUCAGAAAGAUUAACUAACCUCAGACACAGCACUAGAAGAGUAUUUUUGCAAGGAGGAAAAGAAACCCUCUCCUCCUGCAUAAGCUAUAUUCUCAGUUUUGAUAUGUUCUGUGCGGAUCCAUAGAAAUUGAAUAGAAAUUGAAUCCAUGACUUCUUUAAACCUUUUGGUAGAUGUAUACCGGCAGGUGAUACAUGGAGGAAAAGGUUUCUUGUCACCUAUAGGAAUCACAUCCGUGGGUCACAUAAGGCAGGGAAGGACUUUGCAUCUUAGCCAGCUGUCCUGUGUUUAGGACCAUGCAAUUGCCCUGUUAGUUAUCUUCUAUCACCUUCCCACUCAGAAAGCAGUCCAAGUUUUCCAUUUAGCCACAUAUUACAGACUAAGCCAUCAGUUCCAUGUGAACUAGAAAUCAAAAGUGAAUCUGGUCUGAUGAACCAAGAAUAAACAUAUUAUUCAUCUUACCUGGCUGAUUUGUUUCAUACCACUAGUGAUUUUCCCAGAGACUGAUUCUGCAUAUGACUAAUGGAAUUUUUGGAGGGUCAGACAUUCCAAAGUUGUCUAUUCAAGGGAAGAAAUUUCAUGUUUCAGCAACUGCAAAAUGUUGGCUGCAGUUACUACAAAGAAUGGAAUUGCAAUUAGUCUCCUACAAUCUUUAUAGGCAUGCCUGAAAAACAAAGAUGUCAAUAUUGCAAGUCUGAGAGGUCAGUAAGGCAGUAUCCUUUCCUGACAGACAACAGACUGUGCAUGCCUCAGUACUCCCACUUGCUGGGCUGGUAGAAAUAAUGUUUAUUGUGUGGCAGAGCAGCUUCAGUUUUAGGGCAGGGGUGCUGCCUCUGUGGUUCUUUGGAAUCCUCUUUGCCAGAAAGCAACCCUGUAUUAUCCUCCAGAGAUCAGCCAGGGCUGGUCUCCCAUCUGUUCAUGGAUCUGCACCUGUUUUUCAUUUUUACCAAUAGUGGCCACAUGGCCUAAGACUGUGGGGAAUACAAAGAAGAAAAUGAAUGUGUAGUUCAGGCACUGGGGGGUUGGACUUAAAAGUUCUGAGUUCAAAUCCUGACUGUGCUGGGUGAGUCACGUGUUGAAGAUGCAGCUGGAUGAAGAUGGAAAGACUGGUGAAUGACUGGGAAUAGAAUUACACAGCAGGCCUGAGGUACCAUCCCUCACUGUACCCUGACAACUUGUGCUUUAUGUUACCGUUAAUGCUUCUAAAGAGUGAGAGUGUGACUUACCUGCGAAGUCCUACCUUCCCCAGAAAGACUUGAAGGCUAAGCCUGGAUUCAGACUUUGCAGGUGAUGAGGCCUCAUUUCAAGAAGUUGCUUAUGCAGGAAUAGUACUAGUAGCUUCAAGUGUCUAAGUAAUCCUGCACAUCCUGAGUUGGACACAAGCUCAGAUGCCAGCCUGACUAGGCUUCAGUCAUAAUAAAUUUACCUGCCAGCAAAUUUUAGUAUGUUAACUGCUGACAUCGACUACACCCAUAGAAGAAGUUCCUGACAAGCUGCAACAAGACUUAGGAAGGUUCUGAAAAACUUAGUCAUAGGGCAUAAAUAAAUCAUUGUGUGCUAUUAAAGAAGAUGAAUUUGAGUCUAGCUCAAUACCAAAUAAUUCACACUGAAUGAGAUGACUCUAACUGCUGCAGAUUUGAAUAGCAUCUGAAUGAAAUUUGUUAGUGCCUUUACAAUGAAGUCUGCAACGUGAAGAUAUGAUGAUGGCCAUGGUUUAUAUGACUAAGUGGUUGUUAUACCAACCUAGCCAGCAGGCAUGACUGCACCUGAUUUGACUGCCUUUCUUCAGAAGUGAACAGAAACAGCUGUUCAAACAGCUGAAGGUGUUUUCCUAUCCCUGUGACUACCAUUGCUUUAACCUGAGAAGAGUGGUUGAAGCUGGAGUAAUGAUAUCUUCU